UACGGAGGGUGCGGGCGUUAUCCGGAAUUACUGGGUUUAAAGGGUGCGUAGGCGGCUGUGUAAGUCAGGAGUGAAAGUUUGCGGCUCAACCGUAAAAUUGCUUUUGAUACUGCACGGCUAGAAUCAGGAUGAGGUCAGCGGAAUGUGGCAUGUAGCGGUGAAAUGCAUAGAUAUGCCAUAGAACACCAAUUGCGAAGGCAGCUGGCUAGACCUGUAUUGACGCUGAGGCACGAAAGCGUGGGGAGCGAACAGG
RNAcentral lists this ribosomal RNA (253 nucleotides) under uncultured bacterium. RNAcentral describes it as "partial 16S ribosomal RNA". It matches the Rfam family "Bacterial small subunit ribosomal RNA", at positions 524 to 776 of the family's 1533-position model. The record is from RNAcentral.